Molecule: ribosomal RNA, 397 nt
Filed under: Wolbachia endosymbiont of Tetraponera allaborans
Lineage: Bacteria; Pseudomonadati; Pseudomonadota; Alphaproteobacteria; Rickettsiales; Anaplasmataceae
Description: bacterial SSU rRNA
Rfam family: Bacterial small subunit ribosomal RNA
Source: RNAcentral
CACUCCUUGACAUGGAAAUUAUACCUAUUCGAAGAGAUAGGGUCGGUUCGGCCGGGUUCCACACAGGUGUUGCAUGGCUGUCGUCAGCUCGUGUCGUGAGAUGUUGGGUUAAGUCCCGCAACGAGCGCAACCCUCAUCCUUAGUUACCAUCAGGUAAUGCUGGGGACUUUAAGGAAACUGCCAGUGAUAAACUGGAGGAAGGUGGGGAUGAUGUCAGGUCAUCAUGGCCCUUAUGGAGUGGGCUACACACGUGCUACAAUGGUGGCUACAAUGGGCUGCAAAGUCGCGAGGCUAAGCCAAUCCCUUAAAAGCCAUCUCAGUUCGGAUUGUACUCUGCAACUCGAGUGCAUGAAGUUGGAAUCGCUAGUAAUCGUGGAUCAGCACGCCACGGUGAAUA